RNAcentral lists this unclassified non-coding RNA (749 nucleotides) under Hevea brasiliensis (rubber tree). Lineage: Eukaryota; Viridiplantae; Streptophyta; Magnoliopsida; Malpighiales; Euphorbiaceae. The record is from RNAcentral.
GAUGGCGCAGAAGAUUUGUAUCGAUUGCUCCAGGAUGAAGUGAAUUAGCAGUUAUAUUUACUCCAUCUUCCUUAAGUUGUCUUGAAAGCUCAUUAGCAUGCAAAAUGUUAGCCAACUUUGAUUGUCCAUAAGCACGUAUAGUGUUGUAUCCUGAUUCAUCAUUAAUUUUAUCAAAACAAAUUCCUUCAUGGUAUGCAAACCGGUGACCUUCUGAUGAUACAUUAACAAUUCUUCCCUCUUGAUUGCUUUCACGUGCUGUGUUUUUCAUGGUUUCCAGCAAAAGAUUCGUCAAAAGAAAAUGUCCUACAUGGUUUGUUGCAAACUGUAUUUCUAUGUUGUCUUGAGAAAGCGUGAAAGGAGUUGCCAUGAUGCCUGCAUUGUUAACGAGUAGAUUUAGUGGAAGACCCAAGGAUAUAUAUUCAGAAGCAAAUUUCCUGACAGAUGUCAUUGAGCUGAGAUCUAAGUGCAUAACAUCAAUCUUAGCAGUGGGGAUUUCCUUGAGUAUUGUUUCUUUGACAUUCUUACCAGCCUCCAAAUUCCUUACGGCCAUAAUCACAUGGACACCACGCAAAGCAAGAACUCGUGCUGUCUCCACACCAAUACCACUUGAUGCUCCUGUGACAAUAGCAGUGAGGCCAGUUCCAUCAAUCCCUUGUGAAACUUGCUCAGCUGUGGAACAGGCUGAGAACCCAGAAGCCCCUUUCCACCCAAAGAUCCACAUGUUGCAGAUUCCCAAACUAGAGAGUUAG